This 210-nucleotide long non-coding RNA is filed under the name Gossypium barbadense (sea-island cotton). RNAcentral describes it as "long non-coding RNA (GBAR_LNC023227)". The record is from RNAcentral. Lineage: Eukaryota; Viridiplantae; Streptophyta; Magnoliopsida; Malvales; Malvaceae.
AGGGAUGGUUUCUCUAGGGUGUUUCAAGACAAGGCUAAGGGUCCGUUUUGGCGUAUCGCCGGCCACUGAAUACGGUGGUGGUGCGACAGUCGAACGGCGUCGAUGAUGGGUAUAUGAAGCCCUAGCCAAAAAGAGAGAAAUGGGGGAGACAAGGGGAAGGAGAGAAAGCAAAAAGCUUUCUGUUUUCUUAAAAAAAAAAGGGCUAAAAAU